GCCGGGGUGCCCGAGUGGUCCAAGGGGCUGGCCUUGAGAGCCAGUAGGUGUCUAGCCUGCGCGGGUUCAAAUCCCGCCCCCGGCG
The sequence is a transfer RNA, 85 nucleotides long. It matches the Rfam family "tRNA". From Rfam's summary of the family: Transfer RNA (tRNA) molecules are approximately 80 nucleotides in length. Their secondary structure includes four short double-helical elements and three loops (D, anti-codon, and T loops). The record is from Rfam.